RNAcentral lists this ribosomal RNA (301 nucleotides) under uncultured bacterium. RNAcentral's name for it is "partial 16S ribosomal RNA". It matches the Rfam family "Bacterial small subunit ribosomal RNA", at positions 509 to 807 of the family's 1533-position model. The record is from RNAcentral.
CAGUCGCCACGGGAAUACGAAGGGGGCUAGCGUUGUUCGGAAUUACUGGGCGUAAAGCGCACGUAGGCGGACUUUUAAGUCAGGGGUGAAAUCCCGGGGCUCAACCUCGGAACUGCCUUUGAUACUGGAAGUCUUGAGUAUGGAAGAGGUUAGUGGAAUUGCGAGUGUAGAGGUGAAAUUCGUAGAUAUUCGCAGGAACACCAGUGGCGAAGGCGGCUAACUGGUCCAUAACUGACGCUGAGGUGCGAAAGCGUGGGGAGCAAACAGGAUUAGAUACCCCCGUAGUCCCUGUCUCUUAUAC